Molecule: ribosomal RNA, 463 nt
Filed under: uncultured Rhodocyclaceae bacterium
Lineage: Bacteria; Pseudomonadati; Pseudomonadota; Betaproteobacteria; Rhodocyclales; Rhodocyclaceae
Description: bacterial SSU rRNA
Rfam family: Bacterial small subunit ribosomal RNA
Source: RNAcentral
ACCCGCACAAGCGGUGGAUGAUGUGGAUUAAUUCGAUGCAACGCGAAAACCUUACCUACCCUUGACAUGUCCGGAAUCCCGAAGAGAUUUGGGAGUGCUCGCAAGAGAACCGGAACACAGGUGCUGCAUGGCUGUCGUCAGCUCGUGUCGUGAGAUGUUGGGUUAAGUCCCGCAACGAGCGCAACCCUUGUCAUUAGUUGCCAUCAUUUGGUUGGGCACUCUAAUGAGACUGCCGGUGACAAACCGGAGGAAGGUGGGGAUGACGUCAAGUCCUCAUGGCCCUUAUGGGUAGGGCUUCGCACGUCAUACAAUGGUCGGUACAGAGGGUUGCCAACCCGCGAGGGGGAGCUAAUCCCACAAAGCCGAUCGUAGUCCGGAUCGCAGUCUGCAACUCGACUGCGUGAAGUCGGAAUCGCUAGUAAUCGUGGAUCAGCAUGUCACGGUGAAUACGUUUCCGGGUCUU